Molecule: ribosomal RNA, 313 nt
Filed under: Gasterosteus aculeatus williamsoni (unarmored threespine stickleback)
Lineage: Eukaryota; Metazoa; Chordata; Actinopteri; Perciformes; Gasterosteidae
Description: partial 16S ribosomal RNA
Rfam family: Bacterial large subunit ribosomal RNA
Source: RNAcentral
AGACACUAAAGUGGAUCAUGUCAAUGACCCUAAAUAAAGGAUUGAACAAGAUGGAACCCACCCUGAUGUCUUUGGUUGGGGCGACCGCGGGGAAAUAAAUAACCCCCAUGUGGAAUGGGAGCACCCCUCCUACAGCUGAGAGUUACAACUCUAAUAAACAGAAUUUCUGACCAAAAAGAUCCGGCAAUGCCGAUCAACGGACCUAGUUACCCUAGGGAUAACAGCGCAAUCCUCUUUUAGAGCCCAUAUCGACAAGGGGGUUUACGACCUCGAUGUUGGAUCAGGACAUCCUAAUGGUGCAGCCGCUAUUAAG